RNAcentral lists this ribosomal RNA (305 nucleotides) under uncultured bacterium. RNAcentral's name for it is "bacterial SSU rRNA". It matches the Rfam family "Bacterial small subunit ribosomal RNA", at positions 28 to 334 of the family's 1533-position model. The record is from RNAcentral.
GACGAACGCUGGCGGCGUGCCUAACACAUGCAAGUCGAACGGAGUUAAGACUUCGGUUUUAACUUAGUGGCGAACGGGUGAGUAACGCGUGAGAAACCUGCCUUUCAGUGGGGGACAACAGUUGGAAACGACUGCUAAUACCGCAUAAUGUUAUUUGGGGGCAUCCCUGAAUAACCAAAGAUUUAUUGCUGAAAGAUGGUCUCGCGUCUGAUUAGCUAGUUGGUGAGGUAACGGCUCACCAAGUCUGCGAUCCAUAGCCGGACUGAGAGGUUGAACGGCCACAUUGGAACUGAGAAACGGUCCAG